Molecule: long non-coding RNA, 424 nt
Organism: Oncorhynchus tshawytscha (Chinook salmon)
Lineage: Eukaryota; Metazoa; Chordata; Actinopteri; Salmoniformes; Salmonidae
Source: Ensembl
CCGGGGAGGAUGGAGGAAGGUCUGGGAAAGGGAGAGGAUGCGGGGAGGUCUGGGAGAGGAGACAAGGGAGGAUGGGGAAGUUCUGGGAGAGGGAGAGGAGACAGGGAAGGAUGGUGGAGGUCUGGGAGAGGGAGAGGAGACGGGGAGGAUGGAAAGAGCUCUCGGUGAGGUGAGGAGACAGGGGAGGAUGGGGGAAGUCUGAGAAAGGGGGAGGAUGCGGGGAGGUCUGGGAGAGGGAGAGGAGAUAGGGGAGGAUGGGAGGAGGUCUGGGAGAGGGGGAGGAUGCGGGGAGGUUUGGGAGAGGGAGAGGAGACAGGGGAGGAUGGGAGAAGGUCUGGGAGAGGGAAAGGAGACGGGAGGAUGGGAGAAGGUCUGGGAGAGGGAGAGGAGAUAGGGGAGGUUGGGAGGAGGUCUGGGAGAGGGG